RNAcentral lists this ribosomal RNA (252 nucleotides) under uncultured bacterium. RNAcentral's name for it is "partial 16S ribosomal RNA". It matches the Rfam family "Bacterial small subunit ribosomal RNA", at positions 524 to 776 of the family's 1533-position model. The record is from RNAcentral.
UACGGGGGAGCAAGCGUUGUUCGGAUUUACUGGGCGUAAAGGGCGCGUAGGCGGCCACCGCAAGUCGACUGUGAAAUCUCCGGGCUUAACCCGGAAAGGUCAGCCGAUACUGCGGGGCUAGAGUGCAGAAGGGGCAACUGGAAUUCUCGGUGUAGCGGUGAAAUGCGUAGAUAUCUGGAGGAACACCGGUGGCGAAGGCGGCAUCCUGGACCGACACUGACGCUGAGGAGCGAAAGCCAGGGAGCAAACGGG